Molecule: regulatory RNA element, 97 nt
Organism: Corynebacterium argentoratense DSM 44202
Lineage: Bacteria; Bacillati; Actinomycetota; Actinomycetes; Mycobacteriales; Corynebacteriaceae
Rfam family: TPP riboswitch aptamer (THI element)
About the family: Vitamin B(1) in its active form thiamin pyrophosphate (TPP) is an essential coenzyme that is synthesised by coupling of pyrimidine and thiazole moieties in bacteria. The previously detected thiamin-regulatory element, thi box was extended, resulting in a new, highly conserved RNA secondary structure, the THI element, which is widely distributed in eubacteria and also occurs in some archaea.
Source: Rfam
UUAAACGUCCACGGGUGCCUCCUUGGAGGCUGAGAGCCUAAACCGUCCGAACCUGAUCCGGUUAAUACCGGCGAUAGGGAGAGAGAAACCACUAUGU